UUCCGGUUGAUCCCGCCGGAGGGCAUUGCUAUUGGGGUUCGACUAAGGAAUGCUAGUCGACCGCCGCUCCUUCGGGAGCGGAGGGGCGAACGGCUCAGUAACACGUGGCUAACCUGCCCUCGCGUGGGAAAUAACCUCGGGAAACUGAGGCUAAUGUCCCAUAGGGGAGGAUGUCUGGAAUGACGCCUCCCUGAAAGCUCCGGCGCGCGAGGAUGGGGCUGCGGCCGAUUAGGUAGUAGGUGGUGUAACGGACCACCUAGCCGACGAUCGGUACGGGCCGUGGGAGCGGGAGCCCGGAGACGGGUACUGAGACAAGGACCUGGGCCCUAAGGGGCGCAGCAUUCGCGAAAACUCCGCAAUGCGCGAAAGCGUGACGGGGGAACCCCAAGUGCCAACACAACGUGUUGGCUUUUCUGGAGUGUAAACAGCUCCAGGAAUAAGGGCUGGGUAAGACCGGUGCCAGCCGCCGCGGUAACACCGGCAGCCCGAGUGAUGUCCGCGUUUAUUGGGCUUAAAGCGUCCGUAGCCGGCCUGUUAAGUCCCCGGUUAAAUCCGGCGGCUUAACCGUCGGAUAUCUGGGGAUACUGGCAGGCUUGAGGCCGGGAGAGGUCAGAGGUACUCCUGGGGUAGGGGUAAAAUCCGAUAAUCCCAGGGGGACCACCAGUGGCGAAGGCGUCUGACUGGAACGGGCCUGACGGUGAGGGACGAAACCCUGGGGAGCGAUCCGGAUUAGAUACCCGGGUAGUCCAGGGCGUAAACGAUGUGGGCUGGGUGUGGGCCAAUCGGAAGGAUUGGUCUGUGCCGAAGCGAAAGCGAUAAGCCCACCGCCUGGGGAGUACGGUCGCAAGGCUGAAA
RNAcentral lists this ribosomal RNA (855 nucleotides) under uncultured archaeon. Its description in RNAcentral is "bacterial SSU rRNA". It matches the Rfam family "Archaeal small subunit ribosomal RNA", at positions 1 to 854 of the family's 1478-position model. The record is from RNAcentral.